CGUCUAUAUACGUAUAGCAUAUCAAUAAGCGGAGGAAAAGAAACUAACAAGGAUUCCCUUAGUAACGGCGAGUGAAGCGGGAAGAGCUCAAAUUUGAAAUCUUCAAGGUUCUACCUUGACGAAUUGUAGUCUAAAGAAGUGUUUUCUGUUAGAGGAGUAGCAAAAGUUCUUGGAAUAGGACAUCAUAGAGGGUGAGAAUCCCGUAUUUGGUUAUUCUUUCUAGCUUUGUGAUACACUUUCAAAGAGUCGGAUUGUUUGGGAAUGCAGUCCAAAAUGGGUGGUAAAUUUCAUCUAAAGCUAAAUAUUGGCGAGAGACCGAUAGCGAACAAGUACCGUGAGGGAAAGAUGAAAAGAACUUUGAAAAGAGAGUUAAACAGUACGUGAAAUUGUCAAAAGGGAAGCGUUUGACACCAGUGUUGUUUUUCCGAAAAUCAAUUAAGAGUGGCUUGAUUUUGUGUUGUAUUGACCUUAUCAGCUUUCUUCACUCUUUUUCGAGUCUUUCUUAAUGCACUUUUCGGUUAACAAGUCAACAUCAAUUUCUUUUGUUGUAAAAGGGUAUUUGGAAGGUGGCUUUCUUUUCGGAGAAAGUGUUUAUAGCCUUAUACCUCUACAAUCGGAGAGAUUGAGGUCUGCAGCGUAGAUCCUUCGGGGCUAGAUACACUUGUGCUAAGUUAUAGCUUUUCAUAGACAACUUGUUGACUAUGUUUAGUCAUGUAGCUUGCCCGCUUGUGCUAUUUUACCUACGCUUAGGAUGUUGAGUCAUCACACAUCUCU
This 774-nucleotide ribosomal RNA is filed under the name uncultured Neocallimastigales. RNAcentral describes it as "partial large subunit ribosomal RNA". It matches the Rfam family "Eukaryotic large subunit ribosomal RNA", at positions 26 to 618 of the family's 3401-position model. The record is from RNAcentral. Lineage: Eukaryota; Fungi; Neocallimastigomycota; Neocallimastigomycetes; Neocallimastigales.